AGCAGCCGCGGUAAUUCCAGCUCCAAUAGCGUAUAUUAAAGUUGCUGCAGUUAAAAAGCUCGUAGUUGAAUUUCGGGACCGAUAUAUCGGUCGUGCCUCGGUACGUACUGGUAUUUUCGGUUUCUCCCUUCUGACGAACCUUGAUGUCAUUAAUUUGGUGUCUUGGGGAAUCCGGACUGUUACUUUGAAAAAAUUUAGAGUGUUUAAAGCAGGCUCACGCUUGAAUACAUUAGCAUGGAAUAAUGAAAUAGGACGUUUGAUUCUAUUUUGUUGGUUUCUAGGAUCGACGUAAUGAUUAAUAGGGAUAGUUGGGGGCAUUAGUAUUCAAUUGUCAGAGGUGAAAUUCUUGGAUUUAUUGAAGACUAACUACUGCGAAAGCAUUUGCCAAGGAUGUUUUCAUUAAUCAAGAACGAAAGUUAGGGGAUCGAAGACGAUCAGAUACCGUCGUAGUCUUAACCAUAAACUAUGCCGACUAGGGAUCGGAUGAUGUUAAUUUUUUUAAUGACUCAUUCGGCGCCUU
This 520-nucleotide ribosomal RNA is filed under the name uncultured Glomus. RNAcentral describes it as "SSU rRNA". It matches the Rfam family "Eukaryotic small subunit ribosomal RNA", at positions 569 to 1089 of the family's 1831-position model. The record is from RNAcentral. Lineage: Eukaryota; Fungi; Glomeromycota; Glomeromycetes; Glomerales; Glomeraceae.